Molecule: non-coding RNA, 273 nt
Organism: Pelobates cultripes (western spadefoot toad)
Lineage: Eukaryota; Metazoa; Chordata; Amphibia; Anura; Pelobatidae
Source: the annotation of a GenBank genome assembly
GGAGGAGAGUGAGUAGUCGUCGUCUCCCGCCGCCAUCUUGUCCCAUGCGGCUUUUUGCGACCGUAGGAGCAGUUCCCCGAUAUCGUGGGUAGCCGGGUCUUUAUCUGCUCUGGUUUUUUUGUGCUUGCGACCCAUGGCUAGUCUUGUGCCGGGUGUGGGUGUUUGAGCCCGGGUAUUCUCCGGAUUGCGCCUGAUAUAAGGCUUCGUUUGCGGUCCGUAUCGGAGAGCUCUUGGAGAGUGCGACCGCUCUGCUCCGCUGCUAGCUCCGCCCCC